GACGUGCUUGCACUGAUUUCAACAAUGAAGCGAGUGGCGAACUGGUGAGUAACACGUGGGGAAUCUGCCCAGAAGCAGGGGAUAACACUUGGAAACAGGUGCUAAUACCGUAUAACAACAAAAUCCGCAUGGAUUUUGUUUGAAAGGUGGCUUCGGCUAUCACUUCUGGAUGAUCCCGCGGCGUAUUAGUUAGUUGGUGAGGUAAAGGCCCACCAAGACGAUGAUACGUAGCCGACCUGAGAGGGUAAUCGGCCACAUUGGGACUGAGACACGGCCCAAACUCCUACGGGAGGCAGCAGUAGGGAAUCUUCCACAAUGGACGAAAGUCUGAUGGAGCAAUGCCGCGUGAGUGAAGAAGGGUUUCGGCUCGUAAAACUCUGUUGUUAAAGAAGAACACCUUUGAGAGUAACUGUUCAAGGGUUGACGGUAUUUAACCAGAAAGCCACGGCUAACUACGUGCCAGCAGCCGCGGUAAUACGUAGGUGGCAAGCGUUGUCCGGAUUUAUUGGGCGUAAAGCGAGCGCAGGCGGUUUUUUAAGUCUGAUGUGAAAGCCUUCGGCUUAACCGGAGAAGUGCAUCGGAAACUGGGAGACUUGAGUGCAGAAGAGGACAGUGGAACUCCAUGUGUAGCGGUGGAAUGCGUAGAUAUAUGGAAGAACACCAGUGGCGAAGGCGGCUGUCUAGUCUGUAACUGACGCUGAGGCUCGAAAGCAUGGGUAGCGAACAGGAUUAGAUACCCUGGUAGUCCAUGCCGUAAACGAUGAGUGCUAAGUGUUGGAGGGUUUCCGCCCUUCAGUGCUGCAGCUAACGCAUUAAGCACUCCGCCU
This 827-nucleotide ribosomal RNA is filed under the name Levilactobacillus brevis. Its description in RNAcentral is "bacterial SSU rRNA". It matches the Rfam family "Bacterial small subunit ribosomal RNA", at positions 61 to 874 of the family's 1533-position model. The record is from RNAcentral. Lineage: Bacteria; Bacillati; Bacillota; Bacilli; Lactobacillales; Lactobacillaceae.